Molecule: transfer RNA, 71 nt
Filed under: Loxodonta africana (African savanna elephant)
Lineage: Eukaryota; Metazoa; Chordata; Mammalia; Proboscidea; Elephantidae
Rfam family: tRNA
About the family: Transfer RNA (tRNA) molecules are approximately 80 nucleotides in length. Their secondary structure includes four short double-helical elements and three loops (D, anti-codon, and T loops). Further hydrogen bonds mediate the characteristic L-shaped molecular structure. tRNAs have two regions of fundamental functional importance: the anti-codon, which is responsible for specific mRNA codon recognition, and the 3' end, to which the tRNAs corresponding amino acid is attached (by aminoacyl-tRNA synthetases). tRNAs cope with the degeneracy of the genetic code in two manners: having more than one tRNA (with a specific anti-codon) for a particular amino acid; and 'wobble' base-pairing, i.e. permitting non-standard base-pairing at the 3rd anti-codon position.
Source: Rfam by way of RNAcentral
GCAUUGGUAGUUUAGUGGUAGAAUUCUUGCCCUCUAUGCAGGAGACCUGAGUUCAAUUCCCAGCAAAUGCA